UACGUAGGGGGCGAGCGUUGUCCGGAAUCACUGGGCGUAAAGGGCGUGUAGGCGGCUGGGUAAGCCGCGUGUGAAAUCCCGGGGCUCAACCCCGGAACGGCACGCGGGACUGUCCGGCUCGAGCAUGGUAGAGGCGAGUGGAACUCCUGGUGGAGCGGUGGAAUGCGUAGAGAUCAGGAAGAACACCGGUGGCGAAGGCGGCUCGCUGGGUCUUUGCUGACGCUGAGGCGCGAAAGCGUGGGGAGCAAACAGG
This 253-nucleotide ribosomal RNA is filed under the name uncultured bacterium. RNAcentral's name for it is "partial 16S ribosomal RNA". It matches the Rfam family "Bacterial small subunit ribosomal RNA", at positions 524 to 776 of the family's 1533-position model. The record is from RNAcentral.